RNAcentral lists this ribosomal RNA (266 nucleotides) under uncultured bacterium. RNAcentral describes it as "partial 16S ribosomal RNA". It matches the Rfam family "Bacterial small subunit ribosomal RNA", at positions 89 to 354 of the family's 1533-position model. The record is from RNAcentral.
UGGCGACCGGCGCACGGGUGAGUAACGCGUAUCCAACCUGCCCUUUACUAUGGGACAGCCCGUCGAAAGGCGGAUUAAUACCGUAUGUUGUCAUGUUGAUGCAUAUUUUCAUGACCAAAGGCUUCGGCCGGUAAAGGAUGGGGAUGCGUCUGAUUAGCUUGCCGGCGGGGUAACGGCCCACCGGGGCGACGAUCAGUAGGGGUUCUGAGAGGAAGGUCCCCCACAUUGGACUGAGACACGGUCCAAACUCCUACGGAAGGCAGCAG